Molecule: ribosomal RNA, 496 nt
Filed under: uncultured bacterium
Lineage: Bacteria
Description: partial 16S ribosomal RNA
Rfam family: Bacterial small subunit ribosomal RNA
Source: RNAcentral
GAUGAACGCUGGCGGCGUGCCUAAUACAUGCAAGUCGAGCGAACAGAUAAGGAGCUUGCUCCUUUGACGUUAGCGGCGGACGGGUGAGUAACACGUGGGUAACCUACCUAUAAGACUGGGAUAACUUCGGGAAACCGGAGCUAAUACCGGAUAACAUUUGGAACCGCAUGGUUCUAAGUGAAAGAUGGUUUUGCUAUCACUUAUAGAUGGACCCGCGCCGUAUUAGCUGGUUGGUAAGGUAACGGCUUACCAAGGCAACGAUACGUAGCCGACCUGAGAGGGUGAUCGGCCACACUGGAACUGAGACACGGUCCAGACUCCUACGGGAGGCAGCAGUAGGGAAUCUUCCGCAAUGGGCGAAAGCCUGACGGAGCAACGCCGCGUGAGUGAUGAAGGGUUUCGGCUCGUAAAACUCUGUUAUUAGGGAAGAACAAACGUGUAAGUAACUGUGCACAUCUUGACGGUACCUAAUCAGAAAGCCACGGCUAACUACGUG